Molecule: RNA transcript, 2195 nt
Organism: Nelumbo nucifera (sacred lotus)
Lineage: Eukaryota; Viridiplantae; Streptophyta; Magnoliopsida; Proteales; Nelumbonaceae
Gene: BSM
Gene name: Mitochondrial transcription termination factor family protein
Source: RefSeq, a predicted model, not a curated record
CUCGGAUAUCUCAUUUUAUCCACAGAAGGUUUCUUUCCUGUUAGCGACAGACGCAUAAACAGGGAAAAGAAGUGAGGACGAGAAAAAGAGAUUCCCUGAUACCACAAACACUUAAAAACAUGAAGGCUCUCAGCUAUACUGGCAUUACAAAACCCAGUUUGUUGCUUUCGCAUUCAGAGUUAUCCGCUCUUACCUUCCGUAUUCCACAGCUAAAUCCUCCAUCUGUUCCCAGAGUUCCAAGUUUAGUCGGGAAGAAUAAUGGGUUGGUAACCAGAAUUGAGUGUUCCAUUGCCGAGAGAACAUUUGCUUCUAGUUCUGCAAAUUCAUCUUUGUCAAAGUUGUCCACCACUCCUUCGGUUCAGCAUCAAAGAGGCUCAUCUUCCUUGUACAGUAGGCCCAGUUUACUGGAAAUGAAAAAUGAGAGAAUUGCUAAUAGAGCCAGAAUUUAUGAGUUCUUGAGGGGACUUGGUAUUGUUCCUGAUGAGCUUGAUGGUCUGGAGCUUCCUGUCACAGUUGAGGUCAUGAGAGAGCGUGUUGACUUCCUUCACAAAUUGGGGCUCACAAUUGAAGAUAUAAACAACUACCCCCUUGUUCUUGGCUGCAGUGUGAAGAAGAACAUGAUUCCUGUGCUUGAUUAUCUUGGGAAAUUGGGAGUCCGGAAAUCCACUUUUACAGAUUUUUUGCGGAGAUAUCCUCAAGUCCUCCAUGCUAGUGUUGUUGUAGAUCUUGCACCUGUUGUCAAAUACCUCCAAGGGAUGGACAUUAGACCAAGUGAUAUCCCUCGAGUUCUUGAGAGGUAUCCAGAGGUAUUGGGGUUCAAACUUGAGGGGACCAUGAGCACAUCUGUGGCUUAUUUGGUUGGAAUUGGCGUGGCAAGAAGAGAAAUUGGAGGGGUUCUAACCAGAUACCCAGAGAUAUUGGGAAUGAGAGUUGGCAGGGUGAUCAAGCCUUUUGUGGAGUACCUUGAGAGCCUAGGGAUACCAAAACUAGCUGUGGCUAGAUUGAUUGAAAAGCAGCCUCACAUCCUCGGAUUUGGAUUAGACAAUCGAGUGAAACCAAACGUGCAAGCCCUUUUAGAGUUUGGUGUGAGGAAUGAGGCACUUGCUUCUGUGAUAGCACAAUAUCCUGAAAUUAUGGGGAUUGAUCUGAAACCAAAACUUGUAUCUCAACAGAGCUUGCUGAACUCAAGUAUUGACGUGGGUCCUGAGGAUUUCUGUAGAGUUGUUGAAAAGAUGCCACAGGUUGUUAGCCUCAGUCAAUCUCCUAUAUUGAAGCAUGUGGAUUUCCUAAAGAAUUGUGGAUUCUCCUUACCACAAAUCAGAAACAUGGUUAUGAAAUGCCCCCAGUUGCUUGCUUUGAAUCUCGACAUAAUGAAGCUUAGCUUUGAUUAUUUCCAGGCAGAAAUGAGUAGAGAUUUGGAUGACCUGGUAGCAUUUCCAGCUUUCUUUACUUAUGGUUUGGAGUCAACAAUAAAACCUAGGCAUCAGGUGGUCACCAAGAAAGGCUUAAGAUGUUCUCUUGCAUGGCUUCUUAACUGCUCAGAUGAGAAGUUUGAGGAACGGAUGGAUUAUGAGUCUAUUGACAUGGAGGAGAUGGAAAUGGAGACAUCAUUCAACAUGAAUACACUGUUGGGACCAAGGGGAGAUGAGUUGUCUUCUGAAGAUGAAGAAGACAGUGACGAUGAAUACACAUAAACUGGUAUUGAUGAGAAGCAUUACAGAAUUGUCUGUUGUGGAGAAAAUACAGCUUUUUUUGAGCUGAAUCUUCUUGAGAAUACCUGGGACUAGUACUUGAGAAGUAGAACAGGUUGAGCUUAGAAUUAUGAGGUGUCACAUUAGCAUCUGUCUUGCAACAACCAGUUGCUGCUUUCCAGAUUUGUAAUAGACUUCUCCAACUUUCUGCUUGGUCUGCCAGUAAUAUUUACAGGGUCUGCUCUUUGUCAAUCCAUAUAAUUAGUUGGUUGAAGACUUCUGUAAUCCAUCAAGCUGGUUGCAUAUUUAGUCAAAUUUCAUAGUUGCAUCAAGUUGAUAUUAAAUAGAAUGGAUUGGUGAAACAGGAUUUAUGUAGCUAACCCCAUAUAGUUGGGGUAAGGCAUGGAUGAUGAUGACUGAUGCGAUGCAAUCUCUUCUGAAGUUCAUGUAAUAUAUUGUAUUGCGCAGCUAAGUAUUUGGCAAAGAUUAAUCUCCAAUACCCAA